CGAACGCUGGCGGCGUGCCUAAUACAUGCAAGUAGAACGCUGAAGAGAGGAGCUUGCUCUUCUUGGAUGAGUUGCGAACGGGUGAGUAACGCGUAGGUAACCUGCCUUGUAGCGGGGGAUAACUAUUGGAAACGAUAGCUAAUACCGCAUAACAAUGGGUGACACAUGUCAUUUAUUUGAAAGGGGCAAUUGCUCCACUACAAGAUGGACCUGCGUUGUAUUAGCUAGUAGGUGAGGUAACGGCUCACCUAGGCGACGAUACAUAGCCGACCUGAGAGGGUGAUCGGCCACACUGGGACUGAGACACGGCCCAGACUCCUACGGGAGGCAGCAGUAGGGAAUCUUCGGCAAUGGGGGCAACCCUGACCGAGCAACGCCGCGUGAGUGAAGAAGGUUUUUCGGAUCGUAAAGCUCUGUUGUAAUUCCAAGAACGAGUGUGAGAGUGGAAAGUUCACACUUGUUGACGGUUAAGCUUUACCAGAAAAGGGACGGCUUAACUACGUGCCAACAGCCGGCGGUAAUACGUAGGUCCCGAGCGUUGUCCGGAUUUAUUGGGCGUAAAGCGAGCGCAGGCGGUUUGAUAAGUCUGAAGUUAAAGGCUGUGGCUCAACCAUAGUUCGCUUUGGAAACUGUCAAACUUGAGUGCAGAAGGGGAGAGUGGAAUUCCAUGUGUAGCGGUGAAAUGCGUAGAUAUAUGGAGGAACACCGGUGGCGAAAGCGGCUCUCUGGUCUGUAACUGACGCUGAGGCUCGAAAGCGUGGGGAGCGAACAGGAUUAGAUACCCUGGUAGUCCACGCCGUAAACGAUGAGCGCUCGGUGUUGGAUCCUUUCCGGGAUUCAGUGCCGCAGCUAACGCAUUAAGCACUCCGCCUGGGGAGU
Molecule: ribosomal RNA, 879 nt
Filed under: uncultured Streptococcus sp.
Lineage: Bacteria; Bacillati; Bacillota; Bacilli; Lactobacillales; Streptococcaceae
Description: bacterial SSU rRNA
Rfam family: Bacterial small subunit ribosomal RNA
Source: RNAcentral